Molecule: small RNA, 545 nt
Filed under: Arabidopsis thaliana (thale cress)
Lineage: Eukaryota; Viridiplantae; Streptophyta; Magnoliopsida; Brassicales; Brassicaceae
Description: ATSL141640
Source: RNAcentral
UUUAUUUAGUUUAAAAACUACAAAUUUAGGAUUGUUUGAAAGCUACUAAUUUAAAAAGAUAAACUACUCAUAGAAGAUGACUCCAACAUGGUCCUUUAGAAACCUCUCCAGUACUGUCGUUGAGUAGUGUGGGGGAAUUGACAGACACUUGGUACUCGUGGUUCGGCGCCAUAUCGAGGUCCGAAUUUGACGAUGCCUUAGUAUCAGGGAGGGCUGGCAACGACGGACAUGGGUACUCCUCGCCUUGCUGAACCACAUCCACCAAACACUACAGGUCGAAGGUAGACUCAAUGGCUUUGUAUUUACAAUUUUGGUAUGAAGAAAGCUAAGUUUUAAAAAUUCUAACAUAUUCAUAGUCAUUGAGUUGUUUAGUGUUUUGCAUAGUUUCUAGAGAAUGUUUACUAGUGUCUGGUUAUACAUGCAAACGAAACAAUUUCUAUUGUCAUGGUUCCAAAAUAAAACAGAGCAAAACGUUGCAUUUGAAACUACUAACAGUUAUUAUAGAUGUAGAUAUGAACGUGACUAUGAAAAGUUGGAACUUUUGU